UACGUAGGUGGCAAGCGUUGUCCGGAUUUACUGGGUGUAAAGGGCGUGUAGCCGGGCUGACAAGUCAGAUGUGAAAUUCCGGGGCUCAACCCCGGACCUGCAUUUGAAACUGUUGGUCUUGAGUAUCGGAGAGGCAGGCGGAAUUCCUAGUGUAGCGGUGAAAUGCGUAGAUAUUAGGAGGAACACCAGUGGCGAAGGCGGCUUGCUGGACUGAAACUGACGCUGAGGCUCGAAAGCGUGGGGAGCAAACAGG
This 253-nucleotide ribosomal RNA is filed under the name uncultured bacterium. RNAcentral describes it as "partial 16S ribosomal RNA". It matches the Rfam family "Bacterial small subunit ribosomal RNA", at positions 524 to 776 of the family's 1533-position model. The record is from RNAcentral.